RNAcentral lists this ribosomal RNA (408 nucleotides) under uncultured bacterium. RNAcentral describes it as "partial 16S ribosomal RNA". It matches the Rfam family "Bacterial small subunit ribosomal RNA", at positions 338 to 763 of the family's 1533-position model. The record is from RNAcentral.
CCUACGGGAGGCAGCAGUAGGGAAUAUUGCUCAAUGGGGGAAACCCUGAAGCAGCAACGCCGCGUGGAGGAUGAAGGUUUUCGGAUUGUAAACUCCUUUUGUUAGAGAAGAGAAUGACGGUAUCUAACGAAUAAGCACCGGCUAACUCCGUGCCAGCAGCCGCGGUAAUACGGAGGGUGUAAGCGUUACUCGGAAUCACUGGGCGUAAAGAGCGCGUAGGCGGGAUAGCAAGUCAGAUGUGAAAUCCUAGGGCUUAACCAUAGAACUGCAUUUGAAACGGUUAUUCUAGAGUAUGGGAGAGGUAGGUGGAAUUCUUGGUGUAGGGGUCAUAUCCGUAGAGAUCAAGCGGAAUACUCAUUGCGAAGGCGACCUGCUAGAACAUACCUGACGCUGAUGCGCGAAAGCGUG